CGAGUAAAACAUACGGCGGCGGGGCGUUUCACGCGCUCUGAGGAAAGUCCGGGCUCCACAAGGGAAUGGUAACUGCUAACGGCAGCCGGGGGUGACCCCAGGGAUAGUGCAACAGAAAUAGACUACCCGCGUUUUGCGCGGGAAAAGGUGGAAAGGUGCGGUAAGAGCGCACCAGCGCGCUUGGUGACUUGCGCGGCUCUGUAAACCCUACCAGGAGCAACGCCCAUAUGGGAACUAUGCGUGCCCUGCGCGUUCCCGGAGGCGGCUGGAGCUGCAUGGCAACAUGCAGUCGAGAUAGAUCGUCGUUUAAUACAGAACCCGGCUUACGGUUUAGUCGUUUG
Subdoligranulum sp. 4_3_54A2FAA is the source of this 341-nucleotide non-coding RNA. The record is from Rfam. Lineage: Bacteria; Bacillati; Bacillota; Clostridia; Eubacteriales; Oscillospiraceae.